GUAGGCUGUUAGGUGGGGAGGGUGGGGGCAGGGCUGCGAGGGCCUGAGGCCAGCGUGAGCUUCGCCCACACGUGGGCGCUGGGACUCGAGGAGCCCUGGGCAGGCAGCCCUGGGAAUGGGGCAGGCUGGGCACCACAGGUAGCGGAGGAAACGCCCACUCCAUAGCUGACCAGGCCCAGGCCUCCUGCCAGCUUGGGCCCCACCAGCCCUGGCCACCAAGGACCCCCUGUCGACACUGGUACCCUCCUGCUGGGGUCCUCCGGGACCAGCCGACAGCCCCGGGCACAGCCUUUCGCCUUUUGAGUGAUGCCGUGAUCCAAGACGAACCCUGGGCUUUAGGACAUGGCCGGAGAUGGAACCCGAAGGAACACAGAACAAAGGGUGUGCCCAGGGCCAAGGCUGGCACCAGCACCCUGACGGGCCAGCCCAGCAGGUUUGCAUCCUGGUUAGGACAACGGUGCACACAGCCAGGACUGGGCGGCGGCCACAGACAGCGAGAUCCAGACAAGGCCACCGCCUGGAAGGCACGGCGGGCGCCAGAGCAGUCAGAGCCCUGGCCAGGGCUAACACAGAGCUCAGAGGAGAGGUGACACUAAAACUGACACUAAAACAGGUCCUGUUUUAGUGACAGCAGCACAGAGACAGCCCUGGAGUGAAGAGGAGCUGGUGGGGAGAGUGACCCGGGUGCCUGAGACAAACCCUCCUUGGCUGGUCAGAAACCACAGAUAAUUCUGAAGGUACACACCUGACACCUGCUAAUACCUGCCACUUCCUCCUUCCAACCCUGAGCUCUCCAGCCCGGCCCACGGCGGAGGACACAGGCCUGGGAGGGUGACCCGAGGGCUCCUUUCAAAGGCCAGAGAAGGAUGGAGCUGGAGGCACUUGGGACGCCCCUGCCUGAGCUGCAUGCCCAGACGUAGGCCUUCGCAGGCUGUCCCCGAGCACCAGGGCCAGGGGGUGGCCCAGGACACCUUCAGGAGGAAGCCCUGGAGCUCGUGCAGGUCGAUCUCGGCCAGCGCGGGGCCCGUCAUCACGAACAUGCGCAGCAUGCUGUAGAUGCGCUCGAGCGACAGGCUCUCCAGGUUGGUCAGCAUGGCCUGGAUGUACGUCCAGAAGAGCUGGGGACAGCGGCCAGGCCCACCAUCAGCCGGGCCACUGCCGGGACCGCCGCUGCGCCCUAGCUGGCCGCCCCCCGCCCCCCACGCGGCCGGCACC
This is a non-coding RNA of Microcebus murinus (gray mouse lemur), 1215 nucleotides long. NCBI's taxonomy places the organism in Eukaryota, Metazoa, Chordata, Mammalia, Primates, Cheirogaleidae. The record is from RefSeq and is a predicted model, not a curated record.